Long non-coding RNA from Carassius gibelio (silver crucian carp), 797 nucleotides. RefSeq lists it as uncharacterized. The record is from RefSeq and is a predicted model, not a curated record. Lineage: Eukaryota; Metazoa; Chordata; Actinopteri; Cypriniformes; Cyprinidae. The transcript is spliced from 4 exons.
GAUGAAAAAGAUGUAUUCUUGUUAAAAGCCAUCUCUGAUCCUAAAGGAGAACUCUUGUUCUACAGAGAUUUUCAACAGUUCUCGUUUACACAGUUCUGAGAGAGAUCGCUCUUGAGCCGUUUGAUAUUUUCAAACUGAAUUUCUGGUCUUUUUUGAAAAGACGAUUAAGCAAGAUUUUCGUACUCGUUCAGACAGAUAUUCACUCAGUGAUAUUACUCGCAUAACAAGCGACGAUGAAAUAAAAUUUUCCAAUUCCAAAUCAGCUUUUAUAGCGGCCCAAAGUGACGUCAUCCACGAACAUUCCAUAGUGACGUGUCAGAGUUGCCCUGGCAACCAUUGAUUGCUACUGAGUAAACAGUAAAGCUCUCCCCGAAGCCAUUUUUGGGAUUUUAAAUUAAUAGGAAAGGCUCUUUGUAUUGUACGUUACACUUACAACGCAAACUUCAUGAACAGCCAGAUAUGCAGAAGAUGCUGGAAAACCAGAGAACGUGCAAGAGCUGGGGGAUUUUUCUGAAGAACAGAAGGCAGUUGAACUGCUCAGGACCAACGCAGGACUCAUGAACAACUUGGAUCAUCCAGGAAACGACACAAAGUAUUAAGAUCGAAGGUUUUAGCAACAGAACAGAAGACGGACGAAAGCGCGAAGAACGAAAUACAUUGAGGAGGAGAAGAUGAGGAUAGGAAACUGCCUGGUGUGUUCCUGGUCGUGUGGUGCAGAGGUUUGGGGUGGAUUUGAGGAUGGCGUGCUGGACUGGCUCUGCUGGGUGAAGUUCGUGGUCCACGAGGAGGAGAUGGAC